RNAcentral lists this ribosomal RNA (246 nucleotides) under uncultured bacterium. RNAcentral describes it as "partial 16S ribosomal RNA". It matches the Rfam family "Bacterial small subunit ribosomal RNA", at positions 523 to 769 of the family's 1533-position model. The record is from RNAcentral.
ACACGGGGGGAGCAAGCGUUGUUCGGAAUCACUGGGCGUAAAGGGCGUGUAGGCGGUCAGGUAAGUGGAAUGUGAAAUGCCCCGGCUCACCCGGGGACCUGCAUCCCAACUGCCUGGCUUGAGUAUGGGAGAGGAUGAGGGAAUUCCUGGUGUAGCGGUGAAAUGCGUAGAUAUCAGGAGGAACACCGGUGGCGAAAGCGCUCAUCUGGCCCAAUACUGACGCUGAGGCGCGAAAGCUAGGGGAGC